UACGUAGGGUGCGAGCGUUGUCCGGAAUUAUUGGGCGUAAAGGGCUCGUAGGCGGCCAACUAAGUCGGACGUGAAAUCCCUCAGCUUAACUGGGGAACUGCGUCCGAUACUGGAUGGCUUGGAUUUGGGAGAGGGAUGCGGAAUUCCAGGUGUAGCGGUGAAAUGCGUAGAUAUCUGGAGGAACACCGGUGGCGAAGGCGGCAUCCUGGACCAAUAUUGACGCUGAGGAGCGAAAGCCAGGGGAGCAAACGGG
This 253-nucleotide ribosomal RNA is filed under the name uncultured bacterium. RNAcentral's name for it is "partial 16S ribosomal RNA". It matches the Rfam family "Bacterial small subunit ribosomal RNA", at positions 524 to 776 of the family's 1533-position model. The record is from RNAcentral.